RNAcentral lists this ribosomal RNA (253 nucleotides) under uncultured bacterium. Its description in RNAcentral is "partial 16S ribosomal RNA". It matches the Rfam family "Bacterial small subunit ribosomal RNA", at positions 524 to 776 of the family's 1533-position model. The record is from RNAcentral.
UACGAAGGGGGCUAGCGUUGCUCGGAAUUACUGGGCGUAAAGGGCGCAUAGGCGGAUAUCUAAGUUGGGGGUGAAAUCCCGGGGCUCAACCUCGGAAUUGCCUUCAAAACUGGAUAUCUUGAGUUCGGGAGAGGUGAGUGGAACUCCGAGUGUAGAGGUGAAAUUCGUAGAUAUUCGGAAGAACACCAGUGGCGAAGGCGACUCACUGGCCCGAUACUGACGCUGAGGCGCGAAAGCGUGGGGAGCAAACAGG